UUGGUUUUUUUCUUUUGGAAAAUACGCAAGUCAAACUCAUAAAUAGUAUGGAAAUGCAUCAGCCCAAGCGAUGCUAGAAAGUCCUUGACUCAAUCUUGUCCAGAGAUGUAGUGUCGUGGAAUGCGAUGAUCGCAGGAUAUACAUCACAAAGAUGCUAGAUCAUUUGCUUAUUUGGAUUUGUAUGCCACCUCAUGACUAUAAAUUAAAGAUUGUUUUAGUAUCUAUAAUAAUAAGAAUGAAGGGCCCAAACCCC
RNAcentral lists this long non-coding RNA (253 nucleotides) under Selaginella moellendorffii. Its description in RNAcentral is "long non-coding RNA (SMOE_LNC000913)". The record is from RNAcentral. Lineage: Eukaryota; Viridiplantae; Streptophyta; Lycopodiopsida; Selaginellales; Selaginellaceae.